RNAcentral lists this microRNA precursor (54 nucleotides) under Canis lupus familiaris (dog). RNAcentral's name for it is "miRNA (ENSCAFG00000053962.1)". The record is from RNAcentral. Lineage: Eukaryota; Metazoa; Chordata; Mammalia; Carnivora; Canidae.
UAAAACCUUCAGAAGGAAAGGAGAAUGUUUUGUAGACCAUUUUUUUUGUGUGUG